CAGGCAGCUGCUCCCAACCCCAGCAACUUUGCUAUCUUAGAACGGAUCACCAGUGAAAGAGGGGAAGUUGCUACUGUGAUGAAUUCUGCCAUGUGGUACCAGACUGCUGCCCAGACCACAGUGUCCUCUGCAACCCUGCUUCUCAGAUGACCAAGAUGGUGCUGCCGAUGGUGUUGAGGACGGAGAACCCACCAAGCCCCGUUAGGAGCCACCUAGACUGGAUGCAGAGCACAGUUCAGCGACUUCUCCAAACCAGCCUCCCAGGAAUGCUGUUCUCUAUGGCCGUGAGGGGAAUCAAGAAGAGAGCCUGACUCCUCUCCUGAGGUCCCUUCCACACCCUGAGCCAGCAGGAUCCACGGAGCAGAGGUCAUCUGCCCGCAACUUGGCCCACUGAGGCCAGCAUGGCUGGGCCCAGGAUGCUUGUCUCUCAGCUCCCAUCCUGUGUGCUUCCACAUUGGUUUAACCAGAGCAAAACUGACAUCUACAAUUGUCAUGAACAUAUUUAAAUGUGCAUAGAAUCAGCCAUACAAAUUAUGAACAUA
Molecule: long non-coding RNA, 542 nt
Filed under: Pongo abelii (Sumatran orangutan)
Lineage: Eukaryota; Metazoa; Chordata; Mammalia; Primates; Hominidae
Description: lincRNA
Source: RNAcentral